Molecule: long non-coding RNA, 701 nt
Organism: Mauremys reevesii (Reeves's turtle)
Lineage: Eukaryota; Metazoa; Chordata; Testudines; Geoemydidae
Exons: 4
Source: RefSeq, a predicted model, not a curated record
CUGUCAUGAGCCUAGUUUUCUACUAAUCUGCUAUUGGAAUUCUCACUAACAACUAAUACAUUGACUGGGACAAAAAUAUCUGAGGCCAUGUCAUUGAUGUGCUGAUUUUUUCUAUAGGAAAUACUGGAUGCUGAGCUGUAAGAAACGGCCUAAUUGUGAAUGUGUCCUUAUAGUGCCCAGACCUUUACAAAGCUGAAGCUACUACUACAACUCAAGUCAUAACACUUCACAAAUGAAAGAUACUAUGAGAUCUGCCUUUGGAACGGAAAGCAGGAGAAAGAGUCUUUUCCUUUAAGGAGGCCGGAUGCUCAAGCUUGAUAUACAGACUCAAUAUGCAUAGGAGAGAAGAACAUUUUCAUCAAAAACGCACUGUGCAACGUAGCCCAUAAAGCAUCAAUAGCACAUUUACAACAUAGCUGAGAGUUUUAAAAAGCUGAGCUGAGUAUCUGGACACUGAUGCUUGGAGGAGAGUUGUGAAGGGGAGCACAGAUGUAAUAGUGAUCUCUCCCUUGCAUUAGACAGAAUUAGACCAGGCCUGCAGCCACAGCACCAUGUAGUAGAACUAGGAACUGGCGCUCUGGCUCUCUUUGUUCCAAGGGGUGAAAAUACAUGGGAAAGAGAAAACAUUUCAAAGAAUGAUUAUUGUAGAUGCUUGCAAAUUAUGUAUGGCCACAUUGAAUGGUCAGAAAGCUUGUUGUAUC